GAUGAACGCUGGCGGCGUGCCUAAUACAUGCAAGUCGAGCGAACAGACGAGGAGCUUGCUCCUCUGACGUUAGCGGCGGACGGGUGAGUAACACGUGGAUAACCUACCUAUAAGACUGGGAUAACUUCGGGAAACCGGAGCUAAUACCGGAUAAUAUAUUGAACGGCAUGGUUCAAUAGUGAAAGACGGUUUUGCUGUCACUUAUAGAUGGAUCCGCGCCGCAUUAGCUAGUUGGUAAGGUAACGGCUUACCAAGGCGACGAUGCGUAGCCGACCUGAGAGGGUGAUCCGCCACACUGGAACUGAGACACGGUCCAGACUCUUACGGGAGGCAGCAGUAGGGAAUCUUCCGCACUGGGCGAAAGCCUGCAGGAGCAACGCCGCGUGAGUGAUGAAGGUCUUCGGAUCGUAAAACUCUGUUAUUAGGGAAGAACAAAUGUGUAAGUAACUAUGCACGUCUUGACGGUACCUAAUCAGAAAGCCCCGGCUAACUACGUG
This 497-nucleotide ribosomal RNA is filed under the name uncultured bacterium. RNAcentral describes it as "partial 16S ribosomal RNA". It matches the Rfam family "Bacterial small subunit ribosomal RNA", at positions 28 to 507 of the family's 1533-position model. The record is from RNAcentral.